UUCAUUGGCUUAGUGGUCAGGGUGUUCUAAUUUUCUUUUUAUGGACUGGUUGUCAGAUUUAUUAAAGAGCCUAUUUCUAGGUACCAGUGUUGCAUGGGACUUUAGACUGAAAUCCAGAACCCUGGUCUAGGUCAUUCUUGCAUUGCUCUGAAGAAAUACCUGAUACUGGGUAAUUUAUCAGAGAAGAGGUUGAAUUGGCGCAUGGUUCAGCAGGCUGUACAAGAAGCAUAGUGGUAUCUGCUUCUGGAGAGGCCUCAGGAAGCUUCCAAUCAUGGCAGAAGGCAAAUGGGAGAAAAGUUGUCUGGAGACUACACAAUUCAGCUCUGAUGGAGAUAUGCAAUGACAAACGAAGGUAAGGUUAACCUCCAUGGGCGGCUCAAGGGGAGGAGCGCCCCCUGCCGUCUGUCCCUAACCUGCUCAGAAGAACAUUGGCAGGAGCUGUCCAUGCCUGAGACAAUCUGCAGAGCCGUCAGGAUAAAGAGAACUUCAGGUAUGUGUGACUGUUGCUGGUUGUUACCAACCAGUUGGAUCUUUAGGACCCAGGUUUUCUUUUUUAAUGACAGGAGGAAGUCUGCACACCUUCAAACUUAAGGAAGAGUGGUCUGCGUUUCUGGUUUGAUAGUUCACUAGGUUAGAGCCCUAGUCUGAUUGAAGGCAGGCAAUCGUUUCCUUCUGGGUGCAAACUGAGGGCCCAGUAGAGGGCAGUGUGGGUUCUGCAGUAUGGGUGGCCAGCAGCACAGCUCUACAGCUCUGCCGCUCUGUAGGCAAACCUCUGACCUCCCCAGAUUCUUCCAGUAGUAGCAGGGCAGCAGGGCGUGGCCACCCCCUGGUGGAUAAAUACAAAGCCAUGUUCCAGUUCCUCAAAGCUCACUCAGGGAAGUGAGGGAGCUCUGGGUGGGACAGUCCCCAAGGCCAGCCUCUGCCUGCUGCGGUUUACCUUCCUAUCUGAUAUGGUUAGACUUUGUGUCCCUGCCUACAUUUCAUCUUGAAUUGUAAUCCCCAGGUGUUAAGGGAGAGACUGGUUGGGUGGUGAUUGGAUCCUGGGGGCAGUUUCUUCCAUGCAGUUCUUGUAAUAGUGAGGGAGUUAUCAUGAGCUCUGAUGGUUUUAUAAAUGGCAGUUUCACCUGGACUUUUCCUUCUCUCUCCUGCUGCCAUGUACGAUAUGCUUGCUUCCCCUGCCACUGUGAUCGUAAGUUUUCUGAGGCCUCCCCAGCCAUGUGGAACUGAGCCGAUUAAACCUUUUUCCUUUAUAAAUUACCCAGUCUUGCGUAUUUCUUUAUAGCAGUGUGAGAACAUACAAAUAAUACACUGUCUCUUUCCUUUAUUUUCCUUGUACAAAAAAACAUAGCUAUAACCUCCACUUUGCUCAAGCAUUUGAUGCUUCACUUUUAGUGAAAUUCUCUCACUAAAGGCAAUCAGUUCUUCUCUGCUAAAUAAAAGCCCAUGAGUUAAAACAUGGGGAAGGGGGAGUCCAAGUGAAAUCCAGGCAUCCUAAACAGGGACUGUAGCUUUUUAGGCACAGAGGCAGUUUGGCAUCUCCAUAUUUCCUGAGACAGGAAAUAAGUAUAUGGAUAAUAACCCUGAUAUAUUCUGAGCAGAACCCAGUUUCUGUAGAGAAAAAGUUGAUGAAGAUCAGUUUGUAUAUUUAAUUCUUAAAUACAAAGGCAAUAAUGUCUCUCAAAUGCAAUGCAAUUUCCAUAGUAUUAGUAUAG
Long non-coding RNA from Cebus imitator (Panamanian white-faced capuchin), 1712 nucleotides. RefSeq lists it as uncharacterized. The record is from RefSeq and is a predicted model, not a curated record. The transcript is spliced from 3 exons. Lineage: Eukaryota; Metazoa; Chordata; Mammalia; Primates; Cebidae.